AGUCGUCCUACACAAUAACUCCCCUCUCUUGUCUCCCUCACACCAGCCAUGAAGGUUUUCAAAGGUUUCUAGAUCUACUCAGCAUCUCAUUUUUCUAUGAUCCAGGAAAAUUUCUCAUCAGUUAUCAGAGAAUCGUAGAGAACGCCAGAACGUUAUGUCAAGUAACAAUUAUGUAUUUUAGAAAGAUAACCUUUUCAAUUUAAGGAGCAUGUGCAGGCUUCCAAUGUCCACCCACUCAUAGAAAAAAAGAGUGCGACCACCUUGAGGACUGGGCCAUGUCUUUUUCAUCUUUGCAUCCCUAACAAGUAACAAUACUUGACCUUUGUUAGCAAUCAAUAAAAGUCUACCAACUGACUGAUUAA
This is a long non-coding RNA of Felis catus (domestic cat), 362 nucleotides long. RefSeq lists it as uncharacterized. The transcript has 4 exons. NCBI's taxonomy places the organism in Eukaryota, Metazoa, Chordata, Mammalia, Carnivora, Felidae. The record is from RefSeq and is a predicted model, not a curated record.